Molecule: ribosomal RNA, 387 nt
Filed under: uncultured bacterium
Lineage: Bacteria
Description: bacterial SSU rRNA
Rfam family: Bacterial small subunit ribosomal RNA
Source: RNAcentral
GACGAACGCUGGCGGCGUGCUUAACACAUGCAAGUCGAGCGGUAAGGCCCUUUCGGGGGUACACGAGCGGCGAACGGGUGAGUAACACGUGGGUGACCUGCCCUCAGCUCUGGGAUAAGCCUGGGAAACUGGGUCUAAUACCGGAUAUGACUCCAUGACGCAUGUCGUGGGGUGGAAAGCCUUGUGCGGCUGGGGAUGGGCCCGCGGCCUAUCAGCUUGUUGGUGGGGNGAUGGCCUACCAAGGCGACGACGGGUAGCCGGCCUGAGAGGGCGACCGGCCACACUGGGACUGAGACACGGCCCAGACUCCUACGGGAGGCAGCAGUGGGGAAUCUUGCGCAAUGGGCGAAAGCCUGACGCAGCGACGCCGCGUGAGGGAUGACGGCC